RNAcentral lists this long non-coding RNA (1398 nucleotides) under Mus musculus (house mouse). Its description in RNAcentral is "predicted gene 53". The record is from RNAcentral. Lineage: Eukaryota; Metazoa; Chordata; Mammalia; Rodentia; Muridae.
AGACGCCCGCCCUGCCUGAGGUUUCCUUGUGUCCCGGACUCUGCUGUUUUUCUUUUGUCUAAUUUGUCCAUUUCUGCACUUGGCAAUUUCUUGGGAACUAACUUGAAUCUACUUCUCCCUUGUCUGUAAUAGUCUCUUCUCUCUCUCUCUCUCUCUCUCUCUCUCUCUCUCUCUCUCACACACACACACACACACACACACACACACACACACACACACACACACACACACUGUCUUCUUUUCUUCCUCUUAGCCAUCUCUGGGUCUUCCAGCUGGCUCUGGCCUGUCCCUGGCACCUCCCAGCUACCUACUGAUCCGACGGCGCCCAAGCCGGUAUAGGCUGGUAAGACUGCUCCCGGGAAGGAGGCUCCGGGAUGAUCCACGCGGCCGCGCCCCGCACCCACCGGCGGCGCCACGGAGACGCAGAGUUCUCCAGAUCCUCCAAGCGCCGUCGGCGCCACCACUCCAGACACUGUUCACGAGGCCUCAAAGCGUGGAGGCGGUGGCCCGGGGCCGACUCUCGGGUGACCGCCAAUUUGGUCCCAAGACACUUCAGGAUCUCGCAACGGAUGGAGGACAGCGCGGUUCCAAGAGAGGGCGCCAAAGGCGACGCGCUGGCGGCCAGCUCCAAGCCAACCAGGCCCAUUGCGUCCGUCUGCAGGAACCUGUCCCUUCACCCUGCUUUGGACACUGAGCUUCGGAGGAUCUGGCUGCGAGCUGAUUCAACGCCAGGGCGCCGCCUAGAGGUCGGUCGCGUCCUCGGUCUCGCUCACCGACCACAGAGCUGCUUGUCCAAGCCACAGUGUCAGACUUAAACAAAACAAAACAAAAUUCCUGCUUGGAUCAGAGACUUGGCUUCUGGGACCGUUGACUUAUCAGAAACUUGCCUCCUCUCUGCUUCAUAACGAACCCCAGGAAGAGAGAGGGACCAGGGAUCUCAAAGAAAUAUUUGUCCUUGUGGCACCGACUAGGUGGAAGAAAAGUCUCAACAUGACAAGAGGGGAUAUAAACUGUUUGAAGUUCAUCAGCACGGUGAAGUUUUAUUGUAUUUCCGGUCCCUAAAAGAGAAGCCGGCAGCCAGGCAGACUCCCUCCUUAUCUCCGAGUUUCCACGCCAGGGACACACACGUGGCCAAGCGGACACUUGCCUUCGGGAGCAGGGAGGGAGAGAGCCCGCUCCGAUCGACUCUCCCUCACCGGCUCAGGGCACAAGCCAGGAGCCCAAAGGUUCUUCCUCUGAUCCUUUCUCUAAACUAAACCAGUGAAGAAUCUGCAGCAAAGCCCGGGAGAGGAAUGGGAACCAGGAGGGCAGCGGGCAGAGCCCAGCGCCUAUACAGCUUGGGUCUUAAAAACAGCCUUGCUCCAUCACGUUUCCAUAAAUAAAAGAGCCCCGGCCCAG